This 1405-nucleotide long non-coding RNA is filed under the name Cercocebus atys (sooty mangabey). RNAcentral's name for it is "lncRNA (ENSCATG00000045588.1)". The record is from RNAcentral. Lineage: Eukaryota; Metazoa; Chordata; Mammalia; Primates; Cercopithecidae.
GGUCGAGGUCGCUUAUCCACGAGGAGUAAGAGGCCAUGCUGAGGAAGCUGGAGGACUGCAGUUCUACAUACUAUCCUGCCCUGAGCCCCACUUCAGGCUGUCAGCCAGCCUUGUCUCCAGCCUGCUCACCACUCACUGAUGCGUUUUGCACCUCUUAGUCAUAACUGCUCAAACAAGGCUCAUUCUGAUGAAAAGAAGGGGGUGUAGAAGAGCAAUUUUCAAGUUGUCAUUCUGGUAUUUCAUCUUGGGAAACCAGAAACCUACAAAACAGCAAGGGUUUGCAUACUGGAAGACUCCUCAGCCCGCCCCAGAAGAGGCACUCCAGCAGAGAACUCAGGCCCUUCACCAUGCUGCUGCAUGGUUCCUGACACUUGUGCAGUCCGUUCCGAAGCUUCUUACAGUUGAGGUGGGUGACUGCAAAUAGGCACUGCUUCUCCUCUGUGUCAGAGUAAGCACGGGCAGUGCAGGGUGGCUGCACGUCCUGAGUUGCCUGGGACAGUCCUGGUUUACACCAUUGCUCUGUUUUAAUUUUUAUCAAUGACAUUUUUCACUCAAAGCUGUCCCCAGUUGGAAGAUAAAGGUACGUGGUGACUGCAAUUAUGCGGCAUGUGUGCUUUGCCUUAGAGAAAAGAGAGGUGACAAAAGUUCUAAGUGAAGAAGAUAAAGUACAGCUUGACCAGCUGAUAAAUAUGUUGUGGGGUUUUGGAGGAGAAUUUCAGCAAGAGCAGUUGACUCCAGAUGAUAUGCAAGGCUGCUUUUGACCUCUCUGUCUGAAAGGACAUACUUAAAAUCCAGUAUUUGUUUGCUGUUCCCCCUUUAUUUAUUUUGAGACAGAGUCUCACUGUGUUGCCCAGGUUGGAGUGCGGUGGCACGAUCUCGGCUCACUGCAACCUCCGCCUCCUGGAUUCAAGCAGUUCUCCUGCCUCAGCCUCCUGAGUAGCUGGGAUUACAGGCGUGUACCACCACGCUUGCCUAAUUUUUGUAUUUAGUGGAGACGAGGUUUCACCACAUUGGCCGUUCUGGUCUUGAACUCCUGACCUCAGGUGAUCCACCUGCCUUGGCCUUCCAAAGUGCUGGGAUUACGGGCAGCACAGGGUGGCUGCACAUCCUAAGUUGCCUAGGACAGUCCUGGUUUACACCAUUGCUCUGUUUUAAUUUUUAUUAGUGACAUUUUUCACUCAAUGCUGUCCCCAGUUGGAAGAUAAAGGUAUGUGGUGACUGCAAUUAUGUGGCAUGAGGUGGUUCUUGCCUCCAUGCCUGUGUGCGACAUGAAGUUCCUAGGUUCAUGUUAGAAAAUCGUCUUCCUAGAAAAGGAUUUUAUUUUAUUUUAUUUAUUUUUUUUUUUAGUUUAUUGGGGUUGGGAGCUUUUUGGGGAGACACUGACCAGAAGCCUAAGUGACCAAUA